UAUUUAGAUCUAAGAUUCGAGUAUUCUAGAUCUAGAUCUAGUAAAAAUUAAUCUAGAUCUAUCUAUUAACUUUAAGAAAUAGACUAGUUAAUUUUGUUUAGGGCCUAGAUCUAGUUACAAUAGGCCCCUAAUGUUUAUUAUUUUAUUUUUGCAGAAACUUGCAUUCUAUUUCAUCCAAGGAGUCUAGAUCUAGUCUAGAUCUUGUAAAAAUAGCAAGACUAACCCAGUGUAAGGAGGAUUGCUAAAGUAAUCAGAAAGUUGAUGGCUGAGAUAAAGCGGCUGAGGAGAACAGAGGCUUGUGAGUGGAUUAGGUUGGUUGAACUUGUGUACAGCCCUAUCUAUGUUCAAUGCCUCAGGUGGAAGUACAUUUAGUACAGUUUUCAUGGAGAUCCAGCUUUUAUUCAAGGCUCAUCUUAAAGAGAAUGAUGUGGCUGCUGGGACAUAACUAAAAUCUACAUUCAACUGCUUGCAGAUCUCAAGAAGCCUGGGGUUCUCGUGCAGCACCGCAAGCACUCAGGCUGAUUAAGAAGUUAAUUUCUGGCCCUUUGAUAAAGAUCAUUUACAAUAACGCAAUGUGGCGAUCAAAUGUACUCUGUUUCUUAAAGUCAUGGAAGCGUUGUUGACUUCUACUGAGCCUUUCUUGGUGCGACAGCUGGAGAGGUAUCUGAUGGGAAAUCUGAUUGGUGUCCAGCUGACUCAUAAGUGGGAGCAAGGUGAUCAGGGUGUGUCGCAAUACAGUGGAAGGACUAUUGAAAGGGUGCCAGCAACAAAACAAAAGUCAGCUCUUUACACCAUAAGCUACUGGGCAGAUGAUUAGGAUAAUGCUGAGAAUCUGUCAUCUGGCAGAAUCACUGGUUGUUGACUUGCUUUGUAGGAAUCUUGUUUUUCUUACUGAAUAAUUGCUAAUCAAGAGUUACAGAGUACUUCUUUCAUUUGUAGUAUACAAAUUAACUUUAUUUUUUUAACAUUAGUGUUUUUAUAAGUUGUUACUGAAAAAAUGUUUGCUGUGAAUUGUAAAAAUUUUGAAAACUAACACUAACAAUGUUUAUAAUUAAGUUUUGUUUUCAUAAUGUAAAAAAAUAAUUACAUUUUAAUUACGUAACUUAUUUUUCAGGGUAAUUUGAAUCAGCAAGAUAAUCCUAGAAUCAGUAGUUACGUGCUUCAAAAAUGUUGGUCCAAACUAAUUUAAACUAUUUUCUUUUUCAGUUUGAUCACUCAAGUAGUAACGCUUUUUAAAAAUUUAUUUCUUUUCCUUUUAUGUGCUAAUUGAAAUUUUAUCUAAAGAUUAAUUACAAUUGAUACCUUAGAAAAUUGUUUUAAACACUAAAGUAAUCCAAGAAAUUUGUUGUCACUAAUUUUUUUUUCCCAGCAUACACUCAAGGCAUGGGUGUUUAUUCCUUGAUAAUUAAUACUAUUUUUCUUCUUAAAAGGGAUCGUAAUGAGACGAGGCUGAUUUCUUGUACUGUAGAUUUGUUUCUUCACACUAAUUAUGAUUAUGUAACUGUUUUACAUUACUAUGUUGAUUGUAGAUUAUACAAAGGCUAAAUUUAGGUUGUCGCUAUGUAAUUUAUUUCUUUGCUCUGAUAAACAUAUUUUUAAAUUAUUGCAAAAAAAAUUUUGUUUUUUACUUUGCCAUUCUCGUAAAUGUUUCUAUUUUAUUAGACAAAAUCAAAAUUCAUGUGGUGAUCUGAUAACUGUAUUUUAAUAAUUUAUAUUUCUUUUAGCAAACAUUGAAAUGUCUGUAUUGUCAGUAUUGUUACAUUGAAUUAUUUACUAGUAAUAAAUAAAUACUGGUACACACUU
Physella acuta is the source of this 1803-nucleotide long non-coding RNA. RefSeq lists it as uncharacterized. NCBI's taxonomy places the organism in Eukaryota, Metazoa, Mollusca, Gastropoda, Physidae. The record is from RefSeq and is a predicted model, not a curated record.